UACGUAGGGUGCGAGCGUUAAUCGGAAUUACUGGGCGUAAAGCGUGCGCAGGCGGUUUCGUAAGACAGACGUGAAAUCCCCGGGCUCAACCUGGGAACUGCGUUUGUGACUGCGAGACUAGAGUAUGGCAGAGGGGGGUGGAAUUCCACGUGUAGCAGUGAAAUGCGUAGAGAUGUGGAGGAACACCGAUGGCGAAGGCAGCCCCCUGGGCCAAUACUGACGCUCAUGCACGAAAGCGUGGGGAGCAAACAGG
Molecule: ribosomal RNA, 253 nt
Filed under: uncultured bacterium
Lineage: Bacteria
Description: partial 16S ribosomal RNA
Rfam family: Bacterial small subunit ribosomal RNA
Source: RNAcentral